RNAcentral lists this small RNA (29 nucleotides) under Bombyx mori (domestic silkworm). RNAcentral describes it as "ovarian small RNA-20982". Lineage: Eukaryota; Metazoa; Arthropoda; Insecta; Lepidoptera; Bombycidae. The record is from RNAcentral.
UACGACUGUUGCCACCGCAGCCGCAGCCU